Molecule: long non-coding RNA, 271 nt
Filed under: Phoenix dactylifera (date palm)
Lineage: Eukaryota; Viridiplantae; Streptophyta; Magnoliopsida; Arecales; Arecaceae
Description: long non-coding RNA (PDAC_LNC009413)
Source: RNAcentral
UUUGGUUUACACUCAUUCAUGACAAUAAGUUGUGUACGAGGUCUUCUGGAUAUGGUGAAUUGUGUACGAAGAUUAUGAGUAGGUCAACAAGGAAUUAAUCACUUCUAGUAAGAGAAGAUAACAUCCUAUUUAUUCUAAUCGUAUGAUAAUUCAGGAAGCCUUUGAUCAAAGCAGAAUGAAAAUUAGAAAGAGUUUCUAAUAUUUUAUUAUUUGAAUUAUCAUUAAAAGAUUGAGAAAGAUAUGAAUAUGAAAUUGAGUUUGACAUAUAUUC